This 389-nucleotide ribosomal RNA is filed under the name uncultured bacterium. RNAcentral's name for it is "bacterial SSU rRNA". It matches the Rfam family "Bacterial small subunit ribosomal RNA", at positions 30 to 417 of the family's 1533-position model. The record is from RNAcentral.
AUUGAACGCUGGCGGAAUGCUUUACACAUGCAAGUCGAACGGCAGCACGGGAGCUUGCUCCUGGUGGCGAGUGGCGAACGGGUGAGUAAUGCGUCGGAACGUACCGAGUAAUGGGGGAUAACGCAGCGAAAGCUGUGCUAAUACCGCAUACGCCCUGAGGGGGAAAGUGGGGGAUCGCAAGACCUCACGUUAUUCGAGCGGCCGACGUCUGAUUAGCUAGUUGGUGGGGUAAAGGCCUACCAAGGCGACGAUCAGUAGCGGGUCUGAGAGGAUGAUCCGCCACACUGGAACUGAGACACGGUCCAGACUCCUACGGGAGGCAGCAGUGGGGAAUUUUGGACAAUGGGGGCAACCCUGAUCCAGCCAUUCCGCGUGAGUGAAGAAGGCCU